Molecule: long non-coding RNA, 1137 nt
Organism: Gorilla gorilla gorilla (western lowland gorilla)
Lineage: Eukaryota; Metazoa; Chordata; Mammalia; Primates; Hominidae
Exons: 6
Source: RefSeq, a predicted model, not a curated record
UCGCGCGCCCGCCGCGGCCUCGCGCCGUGGGACGGCGUCGCUCCCCGCCGGCUGCCGUUAGGGUUGAGAGCUGCCUGGGCGCGGGGGCCGUGAGGGCGCCUCUCGCCGUGGCUGCGCGGCGGCCUCGUCCGAGAGGCCGGCGCCGGGGCAGGGACCGGCCCGUGCCCAGCCGCCGCGCAGGGCGCCCGGGGCAGCUGGCCGAGCCCUCGAUGCCUCCCGUCUGACGGAGGCGCCCGGGAAGCGCCGCCCACCUCGGCCCCGCACCCUCGCCGGCCUGCCGGGUCUCCGCCAGCCCUAGCAGACAGAGAGGGGCGCCGGUCCCUGGUCCCCCAGACCUCCAUUCAAGGUCAAAACUUUGCCCAGCUCAGCCUUGCUCGACCCUGGGCAGGGAAGCGCGGACAUCGGCAGAGGGAGCCCGAGGCUCUCCGUGCCCUUCGCGCCGCUCCCCAAAGAUGGAUAACACUAACAUAUAGUCAGUGGGAAAGAAAUCUCAGAAAAUAACUGUUAGUUUGUCACUGUCAUGGGAAAUGGAAAGGAAGAAAAACAGCACUUAUCAAGCAUCUUCUGUGUACAAACUGCCAUUUCAGACUCACAGCAGUCCUUGAAGGUCAAGAACUGUGGAAUCUUUCAGAUGAUAUUCUGAUACUUCUGGACAAAGAUUGAAUUUGUUCUUCAUGAAAAAUGUCUGGGACCUUUUAUGUGGGAGGAGCCAAGACGGCCGAAUAGGAAAAGCUCCGGUCUACAGCUCCCAGCGUGAGCGACGCAGAAGAUGGGUGAUUUCUGCAUUUCCAUCUGAGGUACCGGGUUCAUCUCACUAGGGAGUGCCAGACAGUGGGCGCAGGGUGUACUCCAUCUACUUUUAAAAACAAAAAGUUCACUGUAAAACAGCCUCAGGCAGGCCGUUCAGUAGGUAUUCCAGAAGAAGGUAUUGUCAUCAUAGGAGAUGGACAGCUCCAAGGGUGUUAUUGCCCCUGAAGACCUUCUAGUGGAACAAGAUGUGGAGGUGGAAGACAGUGAUGUUGGUGAUCCUGACUCAGUGCAGGCCUAAGCUAAUGUGGGUGUUUGUGUCUUAGUUUUUAACUAAAGAUUUAAAAAGUAAAAAUAAAAAAUUAAAAAAAUUUUUGUACAACUGAACAA